UUGGGCCGCGGUGCUCCUGGGGCGGUUCUGAGGCUGUCCUGUCCAGGGCUGUGUUCUUUUUCUUUUCUUUUCCUCACUUGUUGGCUCCGACUUCUGAGGCCCCUCUACCGCCUUUUCCGCAGAUUGGUACCAGGGUAACCAAGUGGCUUGUGACCCUGCGGGAGGGGCUCCCGUUAAGUUUUGCAGAGAAAUUUAGAAAUGAAGCACGUGGAGCGUCUCUGUUGGGAGAGAAAGGGGCGCAGGCAGCCGCUUGGUGGCAUCCGGGCGCAUCCUGACAGCCUCCCAGCGCGGACCUGGCCCCAGGAGCAAAACCACAGCGCCGCCCUUGGCCAGAAGCUCCCAGAACGGGGGAACAGGUGUUUGAGGCUAUGAAGACACCAGAGGGAACUCAGCCCGGAGGAGAGAAGCUGCUGAAGGUUUUCGGGAGUAAGGAACCUCCACUCCAGGAUCGUGUUAGCCAUGCUAAAGAAAUUCAGACUUUAUUCUACAAGGAGUGGAGAGAGCUCCUGGAGGAUUUCUUAAAGUGGGACUAACAUAUUUGCAUUUUACAAGAUGACCCUCCAAAUUGAACCGCUGAUGAGAGCAAAUUGGCGAAACUUUAAACCACAGAUUGGUAAUUUAAUCCAAGAAGCCUGUGAUAGGGGUCAAGGCUAUUCUUAAUUUCAUUCUGAGGGAAUUUUAAGUGAUUACAGUUCUUUUUGUAAAGCUAAUUUGGCAGUCUUAUUAAAUUGUGU
Pteronotus mesoamericanus is the source of this 734-nucleotide long non-coding RNA. RefSeq lists it as uncharacterized. Lineage: Eukaryota; Metazoa; Chordata; Mammalia; Chiroptera; Mormoopidae. The record is from RefSeq and is a predicted model, not a curated record. The transcript has 3 exons.